UUGAUAGUACCUUACUACUUGGAUAACCGUGGUAAUUCUAGAGCUAAUACAUGCUAAAAACCCCAACUUCGGGAGGGGUGUAUUUAUUAGAUAAAAAACCAAUGCCCUUCGGGGCUCUCUGGUGAUUCAUAAUAACUUCUCAGAUCGCAUGGCCUUGCGCCGGCGACGGUUCAUUCAAAUUUCUGCCCUAUCAACUUUCGAUGGUAAGGUAUUGGCUUACCAUGGUUUCAACGGGUAACGGGGAAUUAGGGUUCGAUUCCGGAGAGGGAGCCUGAGAAACGGCUACCACAUCCAAGGAAGGCAGCAGGCGCGCAAAUUACCCAAUCCCAAUACGGGGAGGUAGUGACAAUAAAUACUGAUACAGGGCUCUUUAGGGUCUUGUAAUUGGAAUGAGUACAAUUUAAACCUCUUAACGAGGAACAAUUGGAGGGCAAGUCUGGUGCCAGCAGCCGCGGUAAUUCCAGCUCCAAUAGCGUAUAUUAAAGUUGUUGCAGUUAAAAAGCUCGUAGUUGAACCUUUGGCCUGGCUGGCGGGUCCGCCUCACCGCGUGCACUCGUCCGGCCGGGCCUUUUCUUCUGGAGAACCGCAUGCCCUUCACUGGGUGUGUUGGGGACCAGGACUUUUACUUUGAAUAAAUCAGAGUGUUCAAAGCAGGCAUUUGCUCGAAUACGUUAGCAUGGAAUAAUAGAAUAGGACGUGCGGUCUUAUUUUGUUGGUUUCUAAGACCGCCGUAAUGAUUAAUAGGGACAGUCGGGGGCAUCAGUAUUCAWUUGUCAGAGGUGAAAUUCUUGGAUUUAUUGAAGACUAACUACUGCGAAAGCAUUUGCCAAGGAUGUUUUCAUUAAUCAGUGAACGAAAGUUAGGGGAUCGAAGACGAUCAGAUACCGUCGUAGUCUUAACCAUAAACUAUGCCGACUAGGGAUCGGGCGGUGUUAUUAUUUUGACUCGCUCGGCACCUUACGAGAA
This 966-nucleotide ribosomal RNA is filed under the name Periconia cookei. Its description in RNAcentral is "SSU rRNA". Lineage: Eukaryota; Fungi; Ascomycota; Dothideomycetes; Pleosporales; Periconiaceae. The record is from RNAcentral.